Phragmites australis (common reed) is the source of this 4750-nucleotide long non-coding RNA. RefSeq lists it as uncharacterized. The transcript has 3 exons. Lineage: Eukaryota; Viridiplantae; Streptophyta; Magnoliopsida; Poales; Poaceae. The record is from RefSeq and is a predicted model, not a curated record.
AACGAUGUGAAUCCGUGGCUUGGGCCAAAUGGACUAUCUCACCGAGCCGUGGAACCUGUCUGCAGCCUCUCCUGCCGUUUCCGCGGCGGAUGGCUUCCUGCCCCUUCGGCGCGGGCGCCGGCGGCAGCCGCGGCUAGCCCCUUCCCACGCCAUCAGCUGCGCGGGUACCCUUGGACGACUGGUGCCACUCCGUAAACCAGGUCGGGUAACUUCGCCGAGUUCCGUAUGAUGUCGCUGGUUCUUUGGUAGUGCUGUUCGUUUGGAUGUGUCAGUGUACUGAUAUCGAUUUAGGAGUUCGGUUUCAACUGUAGGUGUUCAAAUCUCCGUUUCGAUUGCGUUUCCAGUUAGUUGUUCCAUUCUGGGUGGGAAUUUUUAUCAUUUAAGACGGUUGUAGGACACAGAAGAACCAUUUGGACGCUGAGUACUCGGGCUGUAUGCCUGCAUCAGCUAUUUUGAGCGAUUUUCCCCCAAGAUCUAUCAGUUUGAGCGAUUUUUCCUGCCAUUUCAUUUAGACUAAGGUGGAAUGAGCUCGACGGCAAACAUGCUGAUAUGCAGAGUGUUGUAUAUUAUGGAAUUUUUAAUGUGUGAAAUCUUUCUGUGAGCUGAAUCUAGCAGUUGGCCGAGCCUCCUUUCCUUUGCUUAGCCCAGGCCCGUGGCCUCCCUGUAUUUGGAGUAGCCGGCUGCUAGGGUUCACGAGAGAGGGCUCCAGAAGAGGAAGAGGGGUGCAUGGAUUGUGCUUGAGGUGGCGGCGAAACGGUCGUAGCUGAGAUCCUCUCACGCCCGUGGGAGGCUCAAGGCGCACCUGAUUCGGAGGAGAGGGUCCGAUCCUCGUGCGUGUGGGUGAGUGCUGUUGCACUUUAUUUUCUCCUCUCCUUCUCCUGGAUGAACACAAAUUGAUACAUAUUUUUCUUUCUCCUCUCUCUUUCUUCUCGGUUUUGCAUCGGUGAGUUGGAGCUCUGGGUCUCCUUGUGCUUGGUCGGUGCAAUUUGGUGCUGGAAGAGAAGGUUGGUGGUGUCCGAAGUUGCAUAGCCGAGGCUUGCUCACAUAUGUCGAUUGUAGUGUGGUGGGGCAUUGUAUCUCCGUCUUACUCCUAUAUGGCGGCAAUGGUGGGUGAUAGGAUUUCUAGGACGACGACCUUCGAGUCGUGUCUUACCUCUCUUGUUCACUCCUUUCGUCAAUUCUCGCUAUGAGUUUUACUCUAUUUCACACUGAACAACAUGGUUGUAUAUUCUUGUUACUCGAUGAUGAUUACAUAUAUUGAGAUUGAACUAGCAAGUUGAGUACAAUAGAUGAGAUCUUGAGUAGCUCUCUGUUUUUUGGAUGAUAUAGGCAGUAACUGUUUUGGCACUUUGAUUCCAUUUUGAUUGGUUCUACAUACAGAUUUUGAUGUCUUGUUAUCUCUCAAUUCUCUGCCUAGUUGUGUUAAGCUCCUGGACAUGUGUUGUGGCUCUCUAUAACUCGAGCUUGAUCUGCUUGGUUGAUUUAGGGAACAGCAAUAUACAAUUUUGUCUUAGUAAUUGGGGUUUUGAGCCCAGCUAGUCUGUUGUGCUGCUGGACUUAUGUUAUAUAGGUACUUGUUUCCUUUUCCCAGUGCGCAUGCACAUGCUUAGAAGCCUUAUCCAAGAUGCUUUUGUAAUUUCAGAGAAAUUUUGCUCAUGAUCUUAAUCUAGGUGUGACCUCAUUUGCUAAUCCAAUCUGUGAUAUGAAUAUAGAAUAGCUUGGGAGCAGACUUUCAUAAUUCUGGAGCUAGCUAUUAGAAUCCUCUGAGAGCAAAUUUUAACAUUACACUUUGUUGUUUAGUAUUGUUCUUUAUAUACAUGAUGAAUGAUAUAUUAGUUCAUGAACUGGUGCUUCAUUUUUGCAAUAUCAUGUAUGCUAUUUUUUUGCUCUUGUUAUGUUAUUUGCGGUAUAUGGAUAUAUAUGCUAUUAUAAUCGCACUUUUACAACAAUCCAGAAAUCCUAUAGCUUCUGUGAUGGUUAGCUCUGGCUCUUCUGCCUUACCACCAUCUUCCUCAAACGUGAUUAAGCCUGAGAGUUUCGAUGGAACCCGUUUUAAGCGCUGGCAGGCCCGGACGAGGCUGUGGUUGAUAGAGCUCGAAUUAUUCUAGGUCACCACCGAAGAGUCGCCUGCCCCUCCGGGGGAAUCCUUGAUAGACGAGGUCGAAAGAACGUGUCUCGACGCUUUAAGGGCCCGUUGGGAGAAGGCUAAUGCCUUAGCCUUAGCACGCCUCUUGGUCAUCCUAUCGAACAGGCUCUUUGACGUCUAUGUAGGGUUCGGGGAAGCACGGAAGGUGCAGACGGAGCUGAAUGACAAGUAUGCUGAAAGUGACAAUGGCAAUGAGUCCUUUAUGGUGGCAACGAGUUAGAUGGGAGAUGGCAGAUCAGUCAUGGAACAGAUCUAUGAGUUGCAGCUGAUCGUGCAAGACAUAGGCCCGUAUGGCUAUGUCCUCCCUGAGAACUUUCAGAUUAAUGUCAUUCUGGCCAAGCUGCCUACUUCUUGGCGUGACUUUAUCACUGAACGUUGGCAUAUAAAGCAAUGAUUGACUCUUAAUGAGCUCAUUGCUUCUAUAAAUAUCGAGGAGAAGUCUAAGGUAGGCUAUAGUGGGGUUAAGGCGUCCGCUCAAGCUAACCUUGUCGAGCAUAAGAACCAGCCUAGGAGGAAUGUGAAGAAAGAGCAGACCAAGCCUGGCUUUUUGGGACUGAAGGCUAAUGCUACGAAGAAGAAGAAGCGGCGGAUUGGAUCACAAGUCCAACAGAUGUCGCAAUCGUAAGGGCAAGGGACCGACACUUGAAGAGCAGAAGACAACCAAAGCCCAAGUGCAUGUGGCGGUUGCAACGGUCGAUGAUACUGGCAAAGGGUGCAGAUGGUGGAUCCGUUCUGAUGGGGAAUGAGGUUUCAGCAGCAGUACACAGAGCAGGACAAGUGAGCCUGAAGCUGACUUCUGGCAAGAUUCUUGUCCUUAAGGACAUACUAUUUGUGCCUGCCAUGACCCGUAAUCUACUCAGCGGGUCAAUGCUGUGCCAGCAAGGAAUAAAGUUAUUCUUCGAGUCAAAUUAAGUAGUGUUGACCAGGUGUGGGUCGUUUGUAGGAGAGGACUAUGAUUGCGGAGGCAUGUUUCUCAUCUCUAUUCUUGAUAGUUAUGCAUACAUUUUAUAUUCUUCAUAUUCUAAUAGAACACUGAUAUUUGGCAUUCACGUCUUUGUCAUGUUCAUAAUGAAGCAAUUGUGCGUUUGAGCUGGAUGGAUCUUAUUCCGUCAUAUAAUUAUGACAAGAGCCAUAAGUGCGAGGUGUGCAUGCAAGCUAAGUAGCCCCGUAAACCGUUUCAUUCGGUUGAGGGGAGAAGCACUACACCAAUUGAGCUGAUCCAUUAUGACCUGUGUGAGAUGAAUGGAAUUGGAAUUUUAACUAAGGGUUGCAAAAGAUACUUCAUUACUCUUAUAGAUGAUGCUACUAGAUUUUGCUAUAUCUACUUGCUUAGAACAAAAGAUGAAGUGUUUGCCACCCUUAAAGCAGUGAUUGACUCUUAAUGUGCUCAUUGCUGUUAUAAAUGUCGAGGAAAAGUCAAAGGAAAGCUAUGCUAGGUUGAAAGCACCCGCUCAAGCUAACCUUGUCGAGCAUAAGAACUAGUCUGAGAGGAAUGUGAAGAAAGAAAAGACCAAACCUGGUUUUUCAGGACUGAAGGCUAAUGCUAUGAAGAAGAAGAAGAAGCCCGAGAUUGUCUGCUACGUCUGCGGCGGGUUGGAUAACAAGGCCAAUAGAUGCCACGAUCGUAAGGGAAAGGGGCCGACACCUGAACAGCAAAAGGCAGCCAAAGCCCAAAUGCAUAUGACAGUUGCAACGAUCGAUGAUAUCAGCAAAGGCGACUCCACUAGUGAGGUGCAAAUGGUGGAUCCGUUCUGAUGGGAAACGGGGUUUCAGUAGCAGUAUGUGGAGUAGGACAAGUGAGCCUAAAGCUAACUUCUGGCAAGACUCUUGUCCUUAAGGACGUACUGUUUGUGUCUGUCAUGACCCGUUAUCUACUCAACGAGUCAAUGACAUGCUGAUAAAGAAUAAAAUUAGUCUUCGAGUCAAAUAAAGUAGUGUUGACUAGGUGUGGGUCAUUUGUAGGAAAUAGCUAUCAUUGCGGAGGCAUGUUCUGCAUUUCUAUUCUUGAUAGUUCUGCAAACAUUUUUUAUUUUUCAUAUUUUAAUAAGAACAUUGAUAUUUGGCAUUCACGUCUUUGUCAUGUUAAUAAUGAAGCAAUUGUGCAUUUGAGCAAGAUGAAUCUUAUUCCCUCAUAUAAUUAUAACGACAGCCAUAAUUGGGAGGUGUGUGUGCAAGCUAAGCAGCCCCACAAACUGUUUCAUUCAGUCGAGGGGAGAAACACUUCGCUACUUGAGCUAAUCCAUUCUGACCUGUGUGAGAUAAACGGAAUUGGAAUUUUAACUAAGGGUGGAAAAACAUACUUCUUUACUCUUAUAGAUGAUGCUACUAUUUGCUUAAAAUAAAAGAUGAAGCGUUAGAAUACUUUAAGAUCUAUAAGGCCGUAAGGUGAAAAACCAGCUAAGGAAGAGAAUAAAGAGACUGAGGUCUGACAGAAGUGGGGAAUAUAUUCCUAGGGAUUUCUCCAUGUUCUGGGAAGAAAGUGGCAUAAUCUAUGAGUUUACGCCACUAUACUCACCACAGGCCAACAGAGUAGCCGAGAGAAAGAACCGAACAAUUUGUGACUUGGUUAAUGCCUUGUUACAACGUUCUGGUAUGGUUAACUCA